CACGAAUACAACAUAAGUUACAUUAUCAUGAUCCAAGAAGUACUUGACUUAACACAUCAGUCCUCCCGACACAGGUAUCACAAAUAAAACAGUACAUAGUACUUGAAGUUCAAGAGAAGGAUCACAUAACAACUUGUAGAAAAUAUGCGAAAAUAAACAUAAGUCCUAAGGUCUUCAAGCUAGUCACUCCAUAGCUUUCUUACCUCGAUCACCCUGCUUAUCUGAAAUCAAUAAAUAGCAGGGGUGAGACUAUUAAGCCUCAGUAGGUUUCUACUAUCCAACUAAGGUGGUGACUACACCGGGGUACCUGAUUCAGUCAAUCCAAUAAACAACCAGUUCAUAUUCAAUAACAUAAAUAAUGAUGUAGCACAAAUUAUUAUCUUGUUCGUUUUACCAAUAGGACACUCUGAGGUAAGCCGGUCUCAGAGGCCUCACAAAUCCGUCUGCGAUAAUAAAGUAUCGACACGGCAACAGCUUACAUUUUUAUUAAUUCAAGAUUGGAUUCCAAAUUGAAUCCCAAAAUAGCAUAGCUAUCCAAAACGUGAUACCAAAGUAUCACACAUAACGAUUGACUGAGUUCCACAAUUAAGUGUCAUAAUUAUCUAACCAACAUAACCCGUUCCGGGGAAGUUCCUAAAUAAUCCCUAAGGAUUCAUGCAUAACAUUUCUAAGUUCCUCCAUUAUACCAAAUUUCAUACAGUUGUGUGUAGCCAAAGUUACAUUUAAUAAGUUGUGAGUUGAUGUAUUAUGAAUUUGGGAAUCAAGUAGGCCUUAAAAACCAGGUUCUUGAAGUGCAGGACUUGGGUUAAGAACAAAACAGAUUUUUGAGUGCAGGAGGCAGGUAAAUCGAUUUACCUGAGGGGGUAAAUCGAUUUACCCUGGCUAAAACUCGUUUUCCAGAAACUCCCAGGACCUGGUAAAUCGAUUUACAUCACAGGGUAAAUCGAUUUACCAGUGUUAAAAUUGGUUUUUCCUGCAACUUGAACCAGACAAAUUCAAAGAGUAGCACAACCUAUUCAUUUCCCAAUUCAUAACACAAUCAGUUAACAAAUCAUCAAGCAUAAAUUAGCACAACCUACAUACAUCAAUUCCUAAUGAAACCCACCUGAAUUGGUGUUUGAUUCUAGCUCUGAAACUUGGUCACAAAUCUGAAUUGAGAGUUUCAACUUCCUCUUGAGCUUUGGCCUUCAAUUCCACUUCCUAAAACACCACAAGAACACAAAUAAGCCCAAUCCCAUUACAUAUAUGAAAAGAUCAUGAUUUGGUUCAUUAGGGUGAGGAUGAACAGUGCACGAAAUAGAGGGAUUUAAGAGGAAGAUGAGCAAUUAAACUUACCUACUAGAGAGCUUAGGUAUCAAAUAACCGAUUAUCCCAAAAGCUUAAGCUGUUAGGAAAGGCCACAUCAAUGGUUUUAUAUU
Molecule: long non-coding RNA, 1418 nt
Filed under: Trifolium pratense (red clover)
Lineage: Eukaryota; Viridiplantae; Streptophyta; Magnoliopsida; Fabales; Fabaceae
Description: long non-coding RNA (TPRA_LNC005936)
Source: RNAcentral